This 254-nucleotide ribosomal RNA is filed under the name uncultured bacterium. Its description in RNAcentral is "partial 16S ribosomal RNA". It matches the Rfam family "Bacterial small subunit ribosomal RNA", at positions 524 to 776 of the family's 1533-position model. The record is from RNAcentral.
UACGUAGGGCGCAAGCGUUGUUCGGAUUUACUGGGCGUAAAGGGCGCGUAGGCGGCCACCGCAAGUCGACUGUGAAAUCUCCGGGCUUAACUCGGAACGGUCAAGUGAUACUGCUGUGCUAGAGUGCGGAAGGGGCAACUGGAAUUCUUGGUGUAGCGGUGAAAUGCGUAGAUAUCAAGAGGAACACCUGCGGCGAAGGCGGGUUGCUGGGCCGACACUGACGCUGAGGCGCGAAAGCUAGGGGAGCGAACGGG